UUAAAUUGAAGAGUUUGAUCAUGGCUCAGAUUGAACGCUGGCGGCAGGCCUAACACAUGCAAGUCGAACGGUAACAGGAAGCAGCUUGCUGCUUCGCUGACGAGUGGCGGACGGGUGAGUAAUGUCUGGGAAACUGCCUGAUGGAGGGGGAUAACUACUGGAAACGGUAGCUAAUACCGCAUAAUGUCGCAAGACCAAAGAGGGGGACCUUCGGGCCUCUUGCCAUCGGAUGUGCCCAGAUGGGAUUAGCUUGUUGGUGGGGUAACGGCUCACCAAGGCGACGAUCCCUAGCUGGUCUGAGAGGAUGACCAGCCACACUGGAAC
RNAcentral lists this ribosomal RNA (324 nucleotides) under Escherichia coli. Its description in RNAcentral is "bacterial SSU rRNA". It matches the Rfam family "Bacterial small subunit ribosomal RNA", at positions 1 to 319 of the family's 1533-position model. The record is from RNAcentral. Lineage: Bacteria; Pseudomonadati; Pseudomonadota; Gammaproteobacteria; Enterobacterales; Enterobacteriaceae.